RNAcentral lists this ribosomal RNA (272 nucleotides) under uncultured bacterium. RNAcentral's name for it is "partial 16S ribosomal RNA". It matches the Rfam family "Bacterial small subunit ribosomal RNA", at positions 82 to 353 of the family's 1533-position model. The record is from RNAcentral.
CUGAAGAUGGCGACCGGCGCACGGGUGAGUAACACGUAUCCAACCUGCCGAUAACUCCGGAAUAGCCUUUCGAAAGAAAGAUUAAUACCGGAUAGCAUACGAAUAUCGCAUGAUAUUUUUAUUAAAGAAUUUCGGUUAUCGAUGGGGAUGCGUUCCAUUAGUUUGUUGGCGGGGUAACGGCCCACCAAGACUACGAUGGAUAGGGGUUCUGAGAGGAAGGUCCCCCACAUUGGAACUGAGACACGGUCCAAACUCCUACGGGAGGCAGCAUG